This 350-nucleotide ribosomal RNA is filed under the name uncultured bacterium. RNAcentral's name for it is "bacterial SSU rRNA". It matches the Rfam family "Bacterial small subunit ribosomal RNA", at positions 355 to 722 of the family's 1533-position model. The record is from RNAcentral.
UGAGGAAUCUUCCACAAUGGACGAAAGUCUGAUGGAGCGACACCGCGUGAAGGAUGAAGGUCUAACGAUUGUAAACUUCUUUUCUGAGGGAGCAUAAUGAGAGUACCUCAAGAAUAAGGGACGGCUAAAUACGUGCCAGCAGCCGCGGUAAUACGUAUGUCCCAAGCGUUGCCCGGAAUUACUGGGUGUAAAGGGUUCGUAGGCGGUUUUAUAAGUUGGAUAUGAAAGACCAGAGCUCAACUCUGCGUUUGUGUUCAAAACUGUAAAACUAGAAUUAGGGAGAGGUUAGCGGAAUUCUGAGUGUAGGGGUGCAAUCCGUAGAUACUCAGAGGAACACCAAAAGCGAAGGC